Molecule: non-coding RNA, 481 nt
Organism: Penaeus vannamei (Pacific white shrimp)
Lineage: Eukaryota; Metazoa; Arthropoda; Malacostraca; Decapoda; Penaeidae
Source: RefSeq, a predicted model, not a curated record
CGCAGGACCGCCCCCCCUGUGCCCGCCCAGCCCUCCUGCCCGCCCGGAAGCUUCAGGAACCUCAACCGCAGCUGCUCCUCCAGCUCGCAGGGAAUCGCCAACGCCAUCUCCAACAUCGGACUCGGUUAAAGAAAACGGGUUCCGGAGGCCUUUUGGCGGGCUUUUUAAAUCGCUUCUUUUCUGUUUCGUGUGUUUUGGUUCUUUUUUAUUUUUUGAACUUCUGUACUCCUCUUUUCGUGAUUUUUUUUCGGAUAUUUUUGUUUUGCUUUACUUUCGUUUAUGCACAUUUUCUUUUUUCUUUUUCUCUCUCCGCCUAUGCACAUGUUAUUUCCUUUUCUCUCUCUUUCUCCUUUCGCCUCUUUCUUCCUCUUUUGGGCACUGGGUGUUUGUCUUGAGUCGCAGACGAUCUUUUUUGCCGAAAGUUUUCUUUUUUACUCAUCUAUUACGAAACUCCAGAUGAAUUCCAUAUUUUGAGGAGAUA